UAAACGGGCCAGCACCCCUGGUCUCCUGGCUCUUAGGUCCCCCAUCGCUGGGGGGAAGGCGCCCCCUGCGAGACUGGGAUUAAGAGCCACUCCCCCUGCCCCCCUGGCUCUUAGGACACCCCUCCCACGGGGGCGCGGUGCCCCCCGCGAGCCCGGCAGUAAACCAGCCAGCCCCCCUGGACCCUAGCCCUUAGGACCCCCCUCACAGGCGAGGCCGGCAGUAAACGGGCCCGCCACCCUGGCCCCCUGGCUCUUAGGAUCCGCCUCGCAGGGGAGGCCGGCAGUAAACGCGCCAGCCCCCCUGGCCCCGUGGCUCAUAGGACCCCACCUCGCAUGCGAGUCCGACAGUAAACGGGCCAGCCCCCUUGGCCCACUGGCCCUUAGGACCCCCCUCGCAGGCGAGGCCGGCAGUAAACGAGCCAGCCCCCCUGGCCCCCUGGCUCUUAGGACCCCCCUCGCAGGAGUGCGAGGCGCCCCCCGCGAGGCCGGCAGUAAGCGAGCCAGUACCCCUGGCCACCUGGCUCUUAGGACCCCCCCCCCCAAGGUGGGCGAGGCGCCUCCCGCGAGGCCCGCAGUAAACGAGCCAGCCCCCCUGCUCCCCUGUUCUUAGGACCCCCCCUCGCAUUGGGGCGAGGUGCCCCCCGCGAGGCCGGGAGUAAAAGAGCCAGACCCCCUGCACCCCUGGCUCUUAGGGCGCCCCCCGCGAGGCCGGGAGUAAAAGAGCCAGCCCUCCUGCCCCCCUGGCUUUUAGGACCCCCAUCACAGGUGGGCCAGCCGCCACCCGCGAGGCUGGGAGUAAGAGCCAGCCCCCCUGCCACCCUGGCUCUUAGGACACCCAUCGCAGGGGGGCGAGGCGCCCCCGGCGAGGCCGGGAGUAAGAGCCAUCUCCCCUGCCCCCCUGGCUCUUAGGACCCCCAUCGCUGGGGGGCCAGGCGCCCCCCGCGAGGCCGGGAGUAAGAGCCAGCCCCUCUGCCCCCCUGGUUUUUAGGAUCCGCGGUGGACCCACUGCCUGUUUACCAUAUUGCAGCCGGGUGAGUCACCCCCAGCGAUAUGGUAGGAAAUUGCCCCGGUGGAAUGCCUUGCCAGCGCAUUGCAUAGCAGGUCCCUGCAGAGGAUUAACACAGUGGCUGAACACCAGGAAGGAACUGGCACUUGGAGUCCGGACAUCUGAAACUUGGCCCCAUCACCAGAGUGGCAGAGCAGCAGAGCAGUGGAGUAGCACAGUGGCAGAGAAAGAAAGAAGAAGCCGGAUGUCAGAGAGAAGCAGUUUGAGCUCAGAGGGACAGCUUGAUGGUGGGACCUCAGAGAAGAGUUUGGCUGAACUCCAGGGGAAGACCACCUUCCCAUUCCAUCCACUUUCCAGCUCCCCAUCCUGCUGAGAGCUACUUCCAUCCCUCAAUAAAAUCCUCCACAUUCACUACCCUUC
Long non-coding RNA from Pongo pygmaeus (Bornean orangutan), 1426 nucleotides. RefSeq lists it as uncharacterized. Lineage: Eukaryota; Metazoa; Chordata; Mammalia; Primates; Hominidae. The record is from RefSeq and is a predicted model, not a curated record. The transcript has 3 exons.